RNAcentral lists this ribosomal RNA (186 nucleotides) under uncultured bacterium. RNAcentral's name for it is "partial 16S ribosomal RNA". It matches the Rfam family "Bacterial small subunit ribosomal RNA", at positions 1314 to 1500 of the family's 1533-position model. The record is from RNAcentral.
GCCUGCACGAAGUUGGAAUUGCUAGUAAUCGUGGAUCAGCAUGCCACGGUGAAUACGUUCCCGGGUCUUGUACACACCGCCCGUCACACCAUGAGAGUUGGAGAUACCCGAAGCCUAUGAGCUAACUUUUAGAGGCAGUAGUCGAAGGUAGAAUCAAUGAUUGGGGUGAAGUCGUAACAAGGUACC